UACGGGGGGGGCAAGCGUUGUUCGGAAUUACUGGGCGUAAAGGGCUCGUAGGCGGCCAACUAAGUCAGACGUGAAAUCCCUCGGCUUAACCGGGGAACUGCGUCUGAUACUGGAUGGCUUGAGAUUGGGAGAGGGAUGCGGAAUUCCAGGUGUAGCGGUGAAAUGCGUAGAUAUCUGGAGGAACACCGGUGGCGAAGGCGGUUCUCUGGGAAUGUUCUGACGCUGAGGAGCGAAAGCGUGGGGAGCGAACAGG
RNAcentral lists this ribosomal RNA (253 nucleotides) under uncultured bacterium. RNAcentral describes it as "partial 16S ribosomal RNA". It matches the Rfam family "Bacterial small subunit ribosomal RNA", at positions 524 to 776 of the family's 1533-position model. The record is from RNAcentral.